AUGCAUACACUGCAUUCAGGGUUGUACAAGUACAUGUUCCAGAAGGAUGAAUACUGCAUCCUGAUCCUGGUCCUAAACAAUGCUGGGAAGACAACCUUCUUUGGACAAUCAAAAACGUGGUUUAACAAAACCUACAAGGGGAUGAAUCUAUCCAAAAUCUACUGUGGGUCUAAACAUUGGCACCGUGGACGUGCGGAAGACUUGUCUCAUGUUCUGGAACUUAGGUGAGCAAGAAGAGCUACAAUCUUUGUGGAACAAGUACUAUGCAAAAUGCCAUGGCAUCAUCUAUGUCAUUGAUUCCACUGAUGGGGAGAGACUUUCAGAAUCCAAAGAGGCAUUUGAAAAGGUGGUUUUGAGUGAAGCACUGGAUGGUAUCCUCAUCCUGGUGUUGGCCAACAAGCAGAAUGUGGAGACCUGCCUCUCCAUUCCUGACAUCAAGACUACAUCAGUGACUGUACUUGCAAGAUUGGCCAACAAGUUUGUCUGCCCCCGGCCUGCACUGCUCUCACAGGCAAAGGAGUUUGAAAGUGCAUCAAAUGGAUGGUGA
Myodes glareolus (Bank vole) is the source of this 547-nucleotide non-coding RNA. NCBI's taxonomy places the organism in Eukaryota, Metazoa, Chordata, Mammalia, Rodentia, Cricetidae. The record is from RefSeq and is a predicted model, not a curated record.